Molecule: unclassified non-coding RNA, 372 nt
Filed under: soil metagenome
Description: partial contains 5.8S ribosomal RNA, internal transcribed spacer 2, and large subunit ribosomal RNA
Rfam family: 5.8S ribosomal RNA (bases 1-120)
Source: RNAcentral
GAUGAAGAACGUAGCGAAAUGCGAUAAGUAAUGUGAAUUGCAGAAUUCAGUGAAUCAUCGAAUCUUUGAACGCACAUUGCGCCCGGCAGCAAUCUGCCGGGCAUGCCUGUCCGAGCGUCAUUUCUUCCCUCGAGCGCGGCUAGCCCUACGGGGCCUGCCGUCGCCCGGUGUUGGGGCUCUACGGGUGGGGCUCGUCCCCCCCGCAGUCCCCGAAAUGUAGUGGCGGUCCAGCCGCGGCGCCCCCUGCGUAGUAGAUCCUACAUCUCGCAUCGGGUCCCGGCGAAGGCCAGCCGUCGAACCUUUUAUUUCAUGGUUUGACCUCGGAUCAGGUAGGGUCACCCGCUGAACUUAAGCAUAUCAAUAAGCGGAGGA